GUGACUAAUAGUGAAUGUAGUACUGUGAAGGAAAAAUAUGAAACUGA
This 47-nucleotide ribosomal RNA is filed under the name Eudorina elegans. Its description in RNAcentral is "large subunit ribosomal RNA". The record is from RNAcentral. Lineage: Eukaryota; Viridiplantae; Chlorophyta; Chlorophyceae; Chlamydomonadales; Volvocaceae.